RNAcentral lists this ribosomal RNA (301 nucleotides) under uncultured bacterium. RNAcentral's name for it is "partial 16S ribosomal RNA". It matches the Rfam family "Bacterial small subunit ribosomal RNA", at positions 509 to 807 of the family's 1533-position model. The record is from RNAcentral.
CAGUCGCCGCGGUAAUACGUAGGGUGCAAGCGUUAAUCGGAAUUACUGGGCGUAAAGCGUGCGCAGGCGGUUUGUUAAGACAGAUGUGAAAUCCCCGGGCUUAACCUGGGAACUGCAUUUGUGACUGGCAAGCUAGAGUAUGGCAGAGGGGGGUGGAAUUCCGCGUGUAGCAGUGAAAUGCGUAGACAUGCGGAGGAACACCGAUGGCGAAGGCAGCCCCCUGGGCCAAUACUGACGCUCAUGCACGAAAGCGUGGGGAGCAGACAGGAUUAGAUACCCCUGUAGUCCCUGUCUCUUAUAC